Long non-coding RNA from Rosa chinensis, 1439 nucleotides. RefSeq lists it as uncharacterized. Lineage: Eukaryota; Viridiplantae; Streptophyta; Magnoliopsida; Rosales; Rosaceae. The record is from RefSeq and is a predicted model, not a curated record. The transcript is spliced from 7 exons.
UGUACACAUCCCUUGAGAAGUGAGAACAGAGACAGAGUGAUCUGGGUAGAAGAAGAAGAAGGGAUUUCGAAUCGCAAACAAAUCCUCUCCAUAACUCCUUCCAUAAAUCGCUUCCGGGGUUGAAGAAGGAACAGUUCCAUUGCAUGAUGUUGAAGUGAGUAGCGGUAAUUUUUUAGUUUGCAGAGAAUCCAUUGAAAAUAGCCGACGAAGCCAACGGAGAUGGAAUUGGUAGGCUAUUUUUGGUUGCUCACCUUUAAGGCUGUUAAUGGGUGGCUAUGGAUUGUAUCUUGGAUACCGAAAAUGAUAUUCUGAUUAUGUGGAGGAGAAGGCCAAGGUCAAAGACUUGCACCUCGAGCUUCUAGCUGGGAUGUUCUUUUUUUUUUUUUUUUGCUGGAGCAACUGUUGGAGUAACAGCUCUUCUGACUUCUCACAAACCCAGUCUGGGAACCAGCUUCAUGUCAACGAUUUCUAUCAAUCUCUAUUGCUCCACUAUGGUAGAUGAAGUAAAUACAGGUUAUCAAGAUGGGUGGAGAAAUCAGGGUUGUAAAGAAGGAUUGCCAGGAACUUCAAUGCAAUUGUACUUGGUUCUGGAUACACCUGCAGAUGGCACUAAACAAUAUUGUCAAGAAGAUUUUGAAAAGCAGUGUAGUGGUGCCGCUUGCACUACAUGGCAACAUGGGUAGAUUGAUUAUGCCCCAGUGGUUACGUAAAAAUGUUCUCAUUGGCAGCGUCUGAGUUGAAUAAGCUGAGUUCUUAGGGAACUCUUUAAAGGCAGAAAUUCAGCUUGAACUGCGCAAAAGUUCAGCUAAUGGACGAUGUUUUUUGGAGUCAUCUAAAAUUGCUCUUGAUGGUGGAGGCAAAAAUGGAGAGCCCAAACAGGUUACCAUUCUGGAAAUUUCUGUUUUGGAUUUAUCUCUCACUUCAAAGUUGACUUCUUCAAUGAUUUGAAAGAUUAAAAUAUAUGAUUCCUAAUCCGAUUUUUGAGAUCUAGAUGUUUCUAGCUGAUCAAGGUUCAUUUUUCUCUGCUAAGAAGCUGAUUUUUUUCGGGUCUUUUGCCUUGCAGACCAUUGGUUGUAUGACAGAGCGUGUUGUGGAAACUUGAUCAUUUGGAAUUGUUUUUCAGGCAAAAUGCUUGGAAACUGGUGAGACAGUGGCUAUAAAGAAGGUUUUGAAAGACACAAGAGAUAAGAACAAGGAACGUCAAUUGAUGCGUGUGAUUGAUAUGUUAACACACCCACUUCAGAACUCUCUAAUGCUAUGAAUCAUCGAACAUGAAAGAUUAACAUGCUCCUAGAUUUUACUAAGAUGUAAUACAAAGCUGGAAGUCUCAUAAUAAGUUGAUGAUGAUUGUGACUUCCUUUUGUAAACCUAAAAUGUUCGCAAACCAGAAAUCCUUUGCAACAUUUGAACGCCUUAUAAUAAAUUGGAAAUUGUUUUUU